CCAGGAGGUUAUUCCAGUGUUCCAUUAAGCAGCUGUGCUGUUUCUGUAAUUCCCUGUAGCUCUGAGAAUUUGGGAGGGGCAUCAAAGCUGUUUUGCUACACAAACACUGGGGGGAUUAUUUUUAACUUAAAGAGUCUUAAACCAUACAUUUUUCAGUGGUAAAGUCCUGUCUGGCACAGCUAAGCAGUCCAAGGUAGUGUGUGCAGCAUGCGCUGCAACAGGAUAGACAUAAAAUCUUUGUUUUAGCUUUAAACUACUGUUUUAAAUAGGUCUAAGAUUGUUGUGUUAUAGUAACCCACAGCUACUCCACCAGUCUGGAGACCACACUACUCAGGGAGAGCUUCUGUAUGACAAUGGUGUGUUGUGAUGUGACAUUUUCCCAACUGUGCACUUCCUAAUUUCCUUGUAAUUUGCUGGCUGUGAAGAGCUCAGGAGGACCAAAGCUUUUUUUUUUUUUUUCCCCUGAAAUAUUCCUGAGGAAGCGCAGCUCCAGCCCAAACCCCUUGAUCAGUCGAGCAGUUCAUGCAGCACUCCACUCUCCAAAGGAGAAAAGAUGACAUUACAGCUCCCAGGCUGACAGAAUUAACACCCUGUACCCUUCAUUCUGUGAAUCUUCCUCGGUGUGCUUCAUCUCCUGACAGAAAAAGGAGGAAUAAAGUGUCCUGUUGAAGACUGUGGUAACUGCUGGGCUGGUGAACGGAGACGAAUUUUGUCAACUCAUAUUGACAACUCUGUGCCUUCGACUGUUUGAGCUCUUGGGUCCUGUGACUGUGCUGAAAGUUCAAAAGGAAAUAAACUGAGAGGUACACAAACAGCAUUCAUUUUUUAUGAAGGUUUUUAUUCCACUCCAGUGGCAAAAGUUUCCAAUCAGUGCUGAAGGAAGUACAGUCACAAUGCAGCAAUUGUUUCCACCUUCUUUUUUUAGCAAU
Long non-coding RNA from Oenanthe melanoleuca, 929 nucleotides. RefSeq lists it as uncharacterized. The record is from RefSeq and is a predicted model, not a curated record. Lineage: Eukaryota; Metazoa; Chordata; Aves; Passeriformes; Muscicapidae. The transcript is spliced from 3 exons.